RNAcentral lists this ribosomal RNA (160 nucleotides) under uncultured bacterium. Its description in RNAcentral is "partial 16S ribosomal RNA". It matches the Rfam family "Bacterial small subunit ribosomal RNA", at positions 355 to 507 of the family's 1533-position model. The record is from RNAcentral.
UAGGGAAUCUUCCGCAAUGGGCGAAAGCCUGACGGAGCAACGCCGCGUGAGUGAAGAAGGAUUUCGGUUCGUAAAGCUCUGUUGUUAGGGAAGAAUGAUUGUGUAGUAACUAUACACAGUAGAGACGGUACCUAACCAGAAAGCCACGGCUAACUACGUG